UGCAAACUGUGAAGCUGACUACUUAUGCCCC
Molecule: non-coding RNA, 31 nt
Filed under: Mus musculus (house mouse)
Lineage: Eukaryota; Metazoa; Chordata; Mammalia; Rodentia; Muridae
Source: RNAcentral